CUUAAAUUGAAGAGUUUGAUCAUGGCUCAGAUUGAACGCUGGCGGCAGGCCUAACACAUGCAAGUCGAGCGGAAACGAGUUAGCUGAACCUUCGGGGAACGAUAACGGCGUCGAGCGG
RNAcentral lists this ribosomal RNA (118 nucleotides) under Vibrio sp. HI00D65. Its description in RNAcentral is "partial 16S ribosomal RNA". It matches the Rfam family "Bacterial small subunit ribosomal RNA", at positions 1 to 98 of the family's 1533-position model. Lineage: Bacteria; Pseudomonadati; Pseudomonadota; Gammaproteobacteria; Vibrionales; Vibrionaceae. The record is from RNAcentral.